GAAGAGUAAGAGUGUUGAACAAGAAAAUAAUGUAAGUGAAAAAUAAAAUUAUUGAACGUUAUUCUAAAUUGCAUAUGAUUUCUAUAUUCAACAUAAUAAAUUCUACAAUUGGUUAUGAAUUUUACAGCUUAGAGAUGGAAGCUUGAAUGGUUCAAAUAACCUUCAAAAUAGGAAAUUCAAAUUGUUAUCUUAGUUUGGGAAAGCUGAUGUUGUUGCAAAAUGUGAAAUCGCAUCAACAAAUCCAAGUGAUUUGGUGCAUCAUGUACCACUUGGUAAUGAAUGUUGGAGAGUUUGGGUUAAUGAAGUGAUUGAUAAUGUCAGCUUAUAUCAUCCUACACGUGAGCUUUUUCUUCUUGAAGAUGCAUUAGGAAGUACAAUAGCAUGGCCAAUUAGAUACAUUGAAGUGGAUUCACUAUAAUCACAAUGAAGGUAUGCUUAACUUCUUUUCUAUUUUAAUUUCACAAUUCAUUAGGCAAAUAUGUUACAAUUCUAGUCCUUCUAGCAUUCUUGCUUUUGUGGGUCUAACACUUUUAAUUGGCCAUUGAUGACCAUUGAGUGGAACUUGAUCAUUGACAUUUGAUGAAAUUUCAGGUACAAGCAAAUUACAAAUGAGCAUUGCUGAAGUCUCACCUAGAUCGAGCUCCACACUCAUGUGAUUGGAAAGCAUUCUUUUGUUUGUAAAAUAACUUAUUAGUGUUGGUUGAACUUAUGUCUGUUGGUUGAGAGGCAAUUAGUUAUGAAUCAGGCUUGUCAUUUGUUGAACUUAUGUCUAUUGGUCGAGAAAAUGAAAAGUAG
Molecule: long non-coding RNA, 795 nt
Filed under: Olea europaea subsp. europaea
Lineage: Eukaryota; Viridiplantae; Streptophyta; Magnoliopsida; Lamiales; Oleaceae
Source: RNAcentral